CGUCGACCGGCGAAUGGGUGAGUAACGCGUAUCCAACCUGCCCCUGUCCCGGGAAUAGCCCUUGGAAACGAGGAUUAACGCCCGAUUGCGGCAUCAUCGCAUGAUGGGGCCGUGAAAUGCCUAAGGACGGGGAUGGGGAUGCGUCUGAUUAGCCAGCUGGCGGGGUAACGGCCCACCAGGGCUUCGAUCAGUAGGGGUUCUGAGAGGAAGGUCCCCCCACACUGGAACUGAGACACGGUCCAGACUCCUACGGGAGGCAGCAGUGAGGAAUAUUGGUCAAUGGCCGAGAGGCUGAACCAGCCAAGUAGCGUGAGGGAUGAAGGCCCUAUGGGUUGUAAACCUCUUUUAUGCGGGGAUAAAGAGUGUCACGUGUGACAUGUUGCAGGUACCGCAUGAAUAAGGACCGGCUAAUUCCGUGCCAGCAGCCGCGGUAAUACGGAAGGUCCGGGCGUUAUCCGGAUUUAUUGGGUUUAAAGGGAGCGCAGGCGGAGCGCCAAGUCAGCCGUCAAAUGGCUCAGCUCAACUGAGUCCUGCGGUUGAAACUGGCGCCCUUGGGUGCACAAGAGGCAGGCGGAACUCGUGGUGUAGCGGUGAAAUGCAUAGAUAUCACGAAGAACUCCGAUUGCGAAGGCAGCUUGCUGGGGUGUUACCGACGCUCAUGCUCGAAGGCGCGGGUAUCAAACAGGAUUAGAUACCCUGGUAGUCCGCGCAGUAAACGAUGGAUGCCCGCGGUGCGGCCGUUUAAGGUUACGCCGCCAAGCGAAAGCGUUAAGCAUCCCACCUGGGGAGUACGCCGGCAACGGUGAAACUCAAAGGAAUUGACGGGGGCCCGCACAAGCGGAGGAACAUGUGGUUUAAUUCGAUGAUACGCGAGGAACCUUACCCGGGCUUGAAAGGGAGCGGACGGGAGGCAGAGACGCAUCUCUCAUUC
RNAcentral lists this ribosomal RNA (931 nucleotides) under uncultured bacterium. RNAcentral describes it as "bacterial SSU rRNA". It matches the Rfam family "Bacterial small subunit ribosomal RNA", at positions 89 to 1020 of the family's 1533-position model. The record is from RNAcentral.